RNAcentral lists this long non-coding RNA (6089 nucleotides) under Aquilegia coerulea. RNAcentral's name for it is "long non-coding RNA (ACOE_LNC000405)". Lineage: Eukaryota; Viridiplantae; Streptophyta; Magnoliopsida; Ranunculales; Ranunculaceae. The record is from RNAcentral.
AGGCCUGCUCAUGGUUCAGAAAUUAUACAUUUCUCCAGUUCUUCAUUCAUAUAAAAUUGCAAUAACAUGUUGAAAUUGAUGUUCGGACAUAAAUCUGGAUAUCAUCUACCUAAAACUUUUGAUUUAAUUUAAUAUAAUUGAAACUAGUUCGCAUAGUCUUACCACUCUUACGAGAAGUGCCAUGCAUGGACACUUUCCAAGAGAAAUUAAUCGAGUAGGAGUGCUUCAAGUAAGAUAAGGUCUGAAAAAAAUCUGAAAAUCUAAAAGGAUCAACUCUAUUGACAAAAACAUCAGGAGACUAUAAUAAUAAGCAGUGGUAGCAAUCUACUUCUUAAUACUUAGCUUCAAAUUCAUGACAAAAUGGUUUAAAAGGGAACAAAAUUAAGUUAAUUAAGAAAAAUAAGGAACUUGACCAACUAGGAAAUGCAAGUUUAAUCACAAAGGUAUAUUGCUGCACGGUUGGAAGCUCUGGGGAAUGUCAGCAACUUCUCACUGAGCUUCAUUCGAUCUUUCUUUACUUUCACCACAGGUUCUAAGAGGUUGACACGCAUUUCCUCCAAAGCUCUCGCACUCGCAAGCAAAUAUCGCAUAAGGUCCACAGCAUUCUCGCUUACUUGGCGUAAAUCAAUGUCAAUUGUCUUAAGAUGCUUCAGUAUAUCUUUCAUAGACAACAUUGUUGACUGCCAAUAUUCUUCCAUGUUAAGCAUGUUUAAGGAUGUGCAAUCCCCCUAAUAUACACUUAUACAGUAAGAAUCCAUAAGUUCAAACUAACAAUACUUUAUGUAUCUUUUUGAAAUACGACCAAUUUGUUUAAAGCACCGCUAUAUUGCUACAUAUAUAUACGUACCUGGUUAAGAGAUAUGCUCAAAUGUUGUAGGUUCGGAUAACUCCUUAGCAGUAAGUUUAUUGCACGCACUUGGUUUUCAGUAUCAUGCAUACAAAGACGCAAAUAUUUCAGACUAUAACAUGGCGUAGCCAGAGAUGCUGAUAAGUCUCGAUCCCUCGUCAAAAACUGCACACAUCAAAAAGUGUAAAUUCAAGAUAAAGCUCGAAAAUCAGACUCUUGCUUUUGAUAAUAAGAAAGAAUGAAUGGUACCUCAAGAUAGAAAGCUGUUAAAGUCAGUGCCUCAACAUUACGCAACCCUGUCAGAAUCUUAGUAGCAGAAUCAUCAAAAAAAUCAGGGUCUGUGUUGUUCGAAUUAGUAGGGUGUAAAGAGAGCGUAAAAUGUGCCACAGACAAAGAGGAAAGGGUCUCAAUACUAAGAUUUGGUGGUUCUCUACCAAUGUAUACAAACUUGUGAAGAUGUGAGAUGAGAAGUUUGACUUUAAGGGACCGAACAUCACUUACAUCAUUGAAGAGCCUCAAGAGUUUAAGGUUGGACAAAGAAAAAACAUUUGUAUUAGCAUGAUUUUGGUAGCAGUAGAAGAUAUGCAACUCUUCAAGUACAGGACAGCAAGAACUUGAAAAAAGCAUGUUUGUCAGAUUGACAAACUCAAUCUUAGUGAGAAACAAAGAUUUUAGCAAUGGAAGUCUAAGGGUAGUAGAUAAUUUCAGAUGGACAUUAGACAAUUCCAUGUGUGUCAACGUAAUACAGCUAAAGAGGCAUGACGGAAGUUGUUCAAUUUGCCUAUUUUGUGAUAAAAGAGUGAGCCGUUGGACAUUGUGCCGUACAGCAAAAUUGAUCCAUGAGUUAAGAUGUGAAGUUGAAAGGGAUGAUUCUUUGUUCCAGAAAUAGAGAUCGAAACUUGUUAUGUCUGAUUCAUUAUGACCAAUAAGAAUUUGAUCAACUACAUCCUUAAAAUCAUCCACAUACCAUCGAGUCGAGCUUUCAUGAAAUUCCAAAUUGGGGAGAGAAGAACAUACGUGUCUCCAUUUUUUUGAAAGUACGCUGGUUUUAAUUGCUUCCUCCAUGGAAAGAAAGGAAAGUAUGUGUGCCGUCGAAUAGAUUCAUGGAGUGAACUAAUCCUGUCGACAUUUUCCAUUGAAGAUAUACGUUUCCUCUGCAAGUCAAAUGUGGAUCAUCUUAGUAAACUAUCACAUUACCCUACAGAACAACAACUGAGUCCAAACUCCAAAAUGUAUGAUAUUAACUACAGUGAAAACCCUCACUAAUUUGAUUUUGUUGCAGAAUUUUAAACACAAAAAAAAAACCCUAAGAUUAAUUUUAAGUUUUCCAAUAUAUGAUUUUGCAGUAUGAUGUGAACUGUUAAACAAAUCAAAUUUCAAGAAUCCCACAUUCCUUGAAACCAAACACACUCUCUAAUAUAUAUAUAUAAAAAAAAAAAAAAAAAAUCUUAUAUUCAAUAAACAAUUGAAAUUUAUAAGAGUUUUUCAUGAAAUUUAAACUAUAGAUAUAAAAUUAUUAAAAAUAGGUGUAGGUUACCUUCAUUGAUGACUUGUUCUACCAACGAUUCAACCAACAACAGAGAAGAAGAUGAAUAGAAUGGGAGUAAAGCCGUAUGCUUAAGUUAAAGAGUAAUAUAGUUGCAAAUUCCGAAAUCUGGUAAUAUGCCGGUUCUAAAAACCGGAUUAUUCCGAUAUGUCGAAAUAUUCCAUCGAUCCUGAUAAAAUAUCGAUUCUGAAAAUGGCAAAAUCUCCAGAAAUGUCAAGAUAUGUCCGCUUUCCAAUAUUUAUGAUUGUCAAAGUGACAGGAUUUGCUUUCAGUAGCAGGACUAUUAAAAAUGGAGCCAACUCUGCGGUUUAAGCAAAAUGCCGGCGUGAAAGAAUAACUGGUCUUAGGUGCACGGUUAAGGAUGUAGAAGUCAGGGCACUCUGCAAUCUGCAUGGCUAAACAAACUAUGAUAUCUUAACGUAGUCGCCCAAAUGCACACUAAAUAAUUGUUAAGAUCAUAAUAUAAUAGUUCAACAGAAAUGAAAUUAUGAAAACAAUCUUUCCAUAUCAAAACCUUGUGUACUGUAGUUUCUGCGACCUGAGGAACCCAAAGUAAUGCCUUAAAAUGAAGAAUGAGAAACAAGGCCUACACAUAGGUUAUUACACUAACAUGCUGAAAAUUUAAAAGGAUCAACGUACUCGAUCUAUUGACAAAAACAUAUGGAGCAUUAAAAGAUACAGUGAUAGCAAUCUAUUCUUAAUACGUAGCUUAAAAUUCAUGACAAAAUGAUUCAAAAGACAGCUAGGACAAUCAGACAAUGCAAUAUGAAUCAACAACGUUCGAGUAUUUCCCAUGAAACAUAUAUUUCCGCCCAAGGAUUUACUUUGGUGAAUGUCAGCAACGUCUGCUUAAGCUUCAGUUGAUCUUUCUCUGCAUUUAGGAGAUUUCGAUAUGGUCGAAAGAGUUUGACACUCGUAAUCUCCAAAACUCUUGCAUUUGCAAGCAAAUAUUGCAUAAUAUCCAAAGCAUUCUCACUUACUUUGAAUAAGUAGACUUUAGCUUGCUUAAGAUGCUUCAAAAUAUCUCCCGUAGACAACAUUUUUGUCUGCCAAUGUUGCACAUUAAGGAUGUGCAAUCUCCCUGAUAAACAGUAAAAAAAAAAUAAAACCAAUAGGUUAAGCCAAACUAUAUGCAUCUUCACCAAUUUGAUUGGAACACCAAUAUAUUGUUAUAGUACUAGUACCUGGGAAAAUUAUAUGCUCAAAAUUUGUAGGUUUGGAUAACUUUGCAACAGUAAGGUUAAUGCCUGCACUUGAUUUUUAGUAGCAUUCAUAUGAAGUUGCAAAGUUUUCAGAGUAUAACAUAUAGCCAGGCAUGUUGAUAAAUGUCAAUUCCUUGUCAGAUUCUGAACAUAACAAAAGAAGCAUGAUAAGAGACGGCUCGGAAAAAAAAAAAGAAAAAAGAAGACUAUCUCAUAUGAUAAUAAGGAAGACUGAUACGUACCUCGAUAUGAAAGUCUUGUAAUGUCAGUGUCUCCACAUUAAACAACCCUAAUAGAAUCGCAGUUGCAGAGUCAUUAAGAAGAUCAGGGUCUGUGUCAUUUGCAUUAGUUGUUAGGCAGUAUGUUAGUAUGGCAUGAGUAUGAUUCUAAGUAAAACCAGAAAACCCAGAAUAAAUAGAGUAUGCAAACCAGAACAAUAAUUAAGGACAGUAUGAUGUGAUCGAGUCGAGAAAAUCUCUGUCCUUAAGACAUAAUUUGCCCCAACAGGUGCUGUAUGGGUGUAGUGCAAACUGUCUCCCAGGAUACAACGAUCAAUACCUUCGUCGUGUAGCAGCACUUCAAACAAAACGAAGACGGCGAACCAGUUCAGUGAUGUAACUCUCUCAAGGGACACUGACAGACUAUGAAUGAUAAUGAAGAUGAUGUUUUCGAAUGAAUGAAAAAAAAUGCAGACACUGACAAGGUAUUUAUAGCAGGAAAAACUAAGUGAACAGACACUUGGGCCGAAACAGUUCAUUGAACGGAUACAACCAUUAAGGCCGAACAGACACUUUGGGCUUUAAACAGUUUCAUCAAAGGACACAACUUUUGGGCCCGAAACAGUUUCAUGAAAGGUUGCACCUAUCUGGGCCGAACCAGUAGCAAACCGGUUCGGAAUAGGUAUGCACCUAUUUGGAUUUAUUCUAAUGGACCUUUCUACUAAAAAGAUUAUGUUGGAUCACCAAGAUCCAAAUCCAAAUCCAAAUCCCAAGCCCGAGCCGAGUCGGUCGGACGGCGCGCGCGUGUGUGUGUUUUUCAAGCCCAAGCCCAUGUAAGGUUCCGCCCAACGCGCGAAAACAUUGUAACCCCAAGGGCCACGCCCUUAUUGUACAUGAGGGGUUUUUCUAGACAAAAUCUUAUCUACAUGGGUCAAAUGUGGGACUAUCAUAUUUUCCUUGCUUUGUCUCAAGUUGUUUGGAACUUGGGACACCAAUUUCUCAUUCACUAUGGAACAGUUUUAGACGUAUGAAUAUUCUGCGAGCAUCUACUCGGAACGAGGAUUCCAUACGUACCAAGAUCUAGCUCAAUGGAGCUCUAGAACAUAUCGAAAUGUCUAGCCAAAGACCUUGUCAGAUUUCUGUCAGAUUUCUGACAGAAUCUGUUCAAACUGUUUCCAACAUUAGUAGGGGGUACAGUGAAGGAAAAACUUGCAUAGGACAGAGAAGAAGAGUUUCUGAACUAAGGUGUAGUGGUUCUCCAGUAUAUCCAAACUUGUGAUGAUUUGAGUUUCAAGUCGUUGCUGUCCUGUCCAUGAAUGAACACAACUAAAAUCCUAAUAGAGUAUAAAGGAGUGUGCUUGCAAUCUUCUUUUGAUUACAAGCCAACUAAAAAGCUUUAACGAAAAAUCCAAACAACCAAGCAAAUGAUUUGCCAAGUAUAAGUCCUGUUUAAAACUAAUAUAUCACAGUUUCAAAGAAGCGUGAUGGUUGUUCAACCAAGGAUAGAAUAUGAACAACCAAGUUUACAUCCCCACAUAGUCUCAAUUGAUAACAAGGGAUAUGUUCAUUCAUAUUUUCACCAGUUAUACUGAAAGAAAUUUGGUAAGGACCACCUGCAAAAGAAAACCUAAUAUUGCUCUUUCAGCAGCAAACUUACUGUUUGAAACGAAGGUUAAUUUGAAACGAAGGUUAACACUGUUUAAUGUAAGGAAAUUCCUGUGUUUAACUGUAAAGGAAUUGCUGAUAUGAGGAGAGAGAGAGGGGGGGGGGUCAAAACUUGGAAAUAAUAACUGGAGUUAUGCGCAAGCCUAAAAGCUCAAGGCACUCUGCAUGACUACACCAAAAUAAUACAAAGCUGCCCAGUCCUAAUCAUUAAGAACAUAACACAAUAAUUAAAUAGAAAAAAAAAAGAAAAGAAAUCUAACGUCAAAACCAUGUAUAUUUUGUACGACCUGAGGUACCUAAAGUAAUACCUUAAAAUGAAAAAUAAGAUAUCAGAGGCCUGCUCAUGGUUCAAGAAUUAUACAUUUCUCCACUUCUUCAUAGUCAGAGGAGCAUUAAAAUAUAAACAAUGAUGGCAAUCUACUUCUUAAUACUUAGCUUCAAAUUCAUGACAAAAUGGUUUAAAAGACAACAAAACUAAGUUAAUUAAAAAAAAUAAGGAACUUGACCAACUAGGAAAUGCAAGUUUAAUCACAAAGGUAUAUUGCUGAACGGAUGGAAGCUCUGGGGAAUGUCAGCAACUUCUCACUGAGCUUCAUUCGAUCUUUCUCUAC